RNAcentral lists this ribosomal RNA (554 nucleotides) under uncultured bacterium. Its description in RNAcentral is "partial 16S ribosomal RNA". It matches the Rfam family "Bacterial small subunit ribosomal RNA", at positions 355 to 900 of the family's 1533-position model. The record is from RNAcentral.
UAGGGAAUCUUCCACAAUGGACGCAAGUCUGAUGGAGCAACGCCGCGUGAGUGAAGAAGGUUUUCGGACCGUAAAGCUCUGUUGUUGGUGAAGAAGGAUAGAGGUAGUAACUGGCCUUUAUUUGACGGUAAUCAACCAGAAAGUCACGGCUAACUACGUGCCAGCAGCCGCGGUAAUACGUAGGUGGCAAGCGUUGUCCGGAUUUAUUGGGCGUAAAGCGAGCGCAGGCGGAAGAAUAAGUCUGAUGUGAAAGCCCUCGGCUUAACCGAGGAAUUGCAUCGGAAACUGUUUUCUUGAGUGCAGAAGAGGAGAGUAGAACUCCAUGUGUAGCGGUGGAAUGCGUAGAUAUAUGGAAGAAUACCAGUGGCGAAGGCGGCUCUCCGGUCUGCAACUGACGCUGAGGCUCGAAAGCAUGGGUAGCGAACAGGAUUAGAUACCCUGGUAGUCCAUGCCGUAAACGAUGAGUGCUAAGUGUUGGGAGGCUUCCGCCUCUCAGUGCUGCAGCUAACGCAUUAAGCACUCCGCCUGGGGGAGUACGACCGCAAGGUUGAAAC